GACGCCCUUGUCCAUCCUGUGGACAAUCUCUAACUCUGUGACCCAUGUCACCACACCGGAAACAACCCCACUUCUCACCCUAACACUCACCCGAAUGAGCCCUACCACACUUUGGACACAGAGGACGAUUUGGCUUACUGCCAGCAAUAUACUGGGACCUGGAUGCAUAUGACCUGCUACCUUGCUCUUGCCUAUCUCUAGGCAUUGGAGCACUAGUAGAUGACGGUGCUGGCAUAGAUGAUCGAUGAUGGUGCUGGCAUAGACGAACGAUCCUGAUACUGAGGGUGACUCCCUCCAUGUGAUCUAGUUUGACCCUGUCCGUGCUGCUCGAACCUAGCUCUCUUAUUCU
This 349-nucleotide long non-coding RNA is filed under the name Capsicum annuum. RNAcentral describes it as "long non-coding RNA (CANN_LNC005113)". The record is from RNAcentral. Lineage: Eukaryota; Viridiplantae; Streptophyta; Magnoliopsida; Solanales; Solanaceae.